UGCGUAGAUGGUUUCUUAAGUCAGAGGUGAAAGGCUACGGCUCAACCGUAGUAAGCCUUUGAAACUGGGAAACUUGAGUGCAGGAGAGGAGAGUGGAAUUCCUAGUGUAGCGGUGAAUGCGUAGAUAUUAGGAGGAACACCAGUUGCGAAGGCGGCUCUCUGGACUGUAACUGACACUGAGGCACGAAAGCGUGGGGAGCAAACA
Molecule: ribosomal RNA, 205 nt
Filed under: uncultured bacterium
Lineage: Bacteria
Description: partial 16S ribosomal RNA
Rfam family: Bacterial small subunit ribosomal RNA
Source: RNAcentral